This is a long non-coding RNA of Orcinus orca (killer whale), 923 nucleotides long. RefSeq lists it as uncharacterized. The transcript has 4 exons. The record is from RefSeq and is a predicted model, not a curated record. NCBI's taxonomy places the organism in Eukaryota, Metazoa, Chordata, Mammalia, Artiodactyla, Delphinidae.
GGACGACACCAAAAAGCAGGUCCACCCUAAAAAGGUGAAAAUUUGCAGUAUUGAAGACAUUCAAAGAAGCUGCUGAAGACACUGAGAGCAAUUCCAGUUAUUAGCAGAUGUGUGGUCCUGUCAGUGUAAAUCAACUCCACCAAAACACCUUCAUCUUGGACUUCUUGACAAAAGAUUGCCUUCAAUAAAGAAAGAGGAAAUAAGGAGGGAGAAGAAAAUCAAUCCCUCCUCUUUUCAUUGAAUGAUGUUUGCCUGAUCCUUUCCAGGAACACUCAAGAAGCAAGGAACCAGAUUUUCCUCAGUUAACUUUGAACCUGGAAUUUGUGUUACUGCUUUGGUUAUAUUCCUAAUAAGCCACUAGUGUACUCUACAGGAACAAGUGGAAAUGAAGACAGAGGUACGAUGACCAUUAAUUGUCCAUAAUCUAUUUAUCCUGAGGAGCACUUAUACACCUGUUACAUAUUUAGGUAUUUGCUACUUGUAGUUUUUUCAUGAUUUUUGAGCAGAGAAGCAUCUAUACCUAAAGCACCAUAAAAAAGGAAAAAUGCUACCAAGGGGCCUUAAAGUAGCAAGACAAAGAAACUACAGCUUUUUGUGUCUGGGAAAUGAAUGGCUCCAUUCAUUUCAAUAGGGAUUUUGUUUUAUACGUACUGUAUUAAGUUUGGGCACUAAACACCUGACUCCCAUUUCAGAAUGUAUUACUUUGUUAAAUGCAGGUAUGUAAACAGGAUAAAGUACGUUAACUACUAAAUUCUUCAGUAAGUACCUUUGUCUUGUUUUAUUGAAUAUUUUAUAGUGUUAUCCUCAGUUCUUUAAUAUUUGUAUAUGUAUAUAUGUAUGCAUUAUACAUAUAUGUGGGCUUAUAUAUGCCAUUUAUAUAUAAAUAUGCAUAUGUUAAAUUUAUAUAUUAAAAUAGCUCAUAA